This 274-nucleotide ribosomal RNA is filed under the name uncultured bacterium. RNAcentral's name for it is "partial 16S ribosomal RNA". It matches the Rfam family "Bacterial small subunit ribosomal RNA", at positions 523 to 796 of the family's 1533-position model. The record is from RNAcentral.
AUACGGAGGGUGCAAGCGUUACUCGGAAUCACUGGGCGUAAAGCGCGCGCAGGCGGCUAUUUAAGUUGGGUGUGAAAGCCUAUGGCUCAACCAUAGAACUGCAUCCAAAACUAUUUAGCUAGAGUGUGGGAGAGGAAGAUGGAAUUAGUUGUGUAGGGGUAAAAUCCGUAGAGAUAACUAGGAAUACCAAAAGCGAAGGCAAUCUUCUGGAACACUACUGACGCUGAGGCGCGAAAGCGUGGGGAGCAAACAGGAUUAGAUACCCUAGUAGUCC